AGCGAACGCUGGCGGCGUGCUUAACACAUGCAAGUCGAGCGAAGGUGUUUCAAGGGUAACCUUGAGAUACACUUAGCGGCGGACGGGUGAGUAAUACGUGGAUAACUUACCUCUAGGCCUGGGAUAACCCCGGGAAACUGGGGCUAAUACCUGAUAAGACCACAUUGUCUACGGACAAAGGGGUAAAGGUGGCUGUGCAAACAGCUAUCGCCAAAAGNUAGGUUCACGUCCCAUCAGGCAGUGGUGAGGUAAUGGCUCACCAAACCAAAGACGGGUAGCCGGCCUUGGCGGGUGAACGGCCACACGGGGACUGAGACACGGCCCCGACUCC
RNAcentral lists this ribosomal RNA (331 nucleotides) under uncultured bacterium. RNAcentral's name for it is "bacterial SSU rRNA". It matches the Rfam family "Bacterial small subunit ribosomal RNA", at positions 29 to 339 of the family's 1533-position model. The record is from RNAcentral.